RNAcentral lists this ribosomal RNA (616 nucleotides) under uncultured bacterium. RNAcentral's name for it is "bacterial SSU rRNA". The stretch from base 1 to 522 matches the Rfam family "Bacterial small subunit ribosomal RNA", at positions 338 to 873 of the family's 1533-position model. The record is from RNAcentral.
CCUACGGGAGGCAGCAGUGAGGAAUUUUCUGCAAUGGGCGAAAGCCUGACAGAGCAAUACCGCGUGAGGGAAGAAGGCUUACUGAGUUGUAAACCUCGGUGCCUUAAGGAAGAAGAUCUGACGGUACUUAAGGUGGAAAGCAUCGGCUAACCCCGUGCCAGCAGCCGCGGUAAGACGGGGGAUGCAAGUGUUAUCCGGAAUUACUGGGCGUAAAGCGUCUGCAGGUGGUUUCUUAAGUCCACUGUUAAACCUUGAGGCUCAACCUCAAAUCUGCAGUGGAAACUAGGGAACUUGAGGAUAGUAGGGGUAGAGGGAAUUUCCAGUGGAGCGGUGAAAUGCGUAGAUAUUGGAAAGAACACCGAUGGCGAAGGCACUCUACUGGGCUAUGACUGACACUCAGAGACGAAAGCUAGGGGAGCAAAUGGGAUUAGAUACCCCAGUAGUCCUAGCCGUAAACGAUGGAUACUCGAUGUGUAGUAUCGUACCGUACUAGUAUCUAGUCUACGUACGUAGUAUACCGUCCGUCGGUAGGUACGUCGUCGCGAGAGUAGAACGACGAACGAAAGUUAAGUACGGUCGUUGAGUACGUUGCGACGGACGACGACGAGGGAGGAGG